UAACAGGGUAAACACCGGAAAAGGACGC
Molecule: non-coding RNA, 28 nt
Filed under: Bombyx mori (domestic silkworm)
Lineage: Eukaryota; Metazoa; Arthropoda; Insecta; Lepidoptera; Bombycidae
Source: RNAcentral